UAAACUUAUAUUUUUUUUCCUUCCUGUGCAGAACAAUAAUCUGCCUUUGAAUUUACAGAUCUUGUCACUAGAACUGCAGAAAAAAAAAGAAAAAAAAAACUCUGAUUUGCACACAUCUUGUUGGACUGGCCAUGUUCUAACAAUUUGCAUAAAUGUUGGAAUGGGAAGACAGACUAUCUUGACUCUACAACCUGUCUGCCUUAUUCUGAACUCAGAAAAUGAGGACAUCCAGCAGAAAAAAAGCCAAAGAAUCCAAGAUUGUCUCAGAUCACAAAGAAAACUUGUUGCAGACUGCAGCUUGAGCCAUCCAAG
RNAcentral lists this long non-coding RNA (312 nucleotides) under Numida meleagris (helmeted guineafowl). RNAcentral describes it as "lncRNA (ENSNMEG00000009319.1)". The record is from RNAcentral. Lineage: Eukaryota; Metazoa; Chordata; Aves; Galliformes; Numididae.